GAAAUGCGAUAAGUAAUGUGAAUUGCAGAAUUCAGUGAAUCAUCGAAUCUUUGAACGCACAUUGCGCCCGCCAGUAUUCUGGCGGGCAUGCCUGUUCGAGCGUCAUUUCAACCAUCAAGCCCCGGGCUUGUGUUGGGGACCUGCGGCUGCCGCAGGCCCUGAAAACCAGUGGCGGGCUCGCUAGUCACUCCGAGCGUAGUAGUUACAUCUCGCUCAGGGCGUGCUGCGGGUUCCGGCCGUUAAAAGCCUUUUACCCCAAGGUUGACCUCGGAUCAGGUAGGAAGACCCGCUGAACUUAA
Molecule: unclassified non-coding RNA, 299 nt
Filed under: uncultured Chaetomiaceae
Lineage: Eukaryota; Fungi; Ascomycota; Sordariomycetes; Sordariales
Description: sequence contains ITS1
Rfam family: 5.8S ribosomal RNA (bases 1-105)
Source: RNAcentral